Molecule: ribosomal RNA, 197 nt
Filed under: Metastrongylus pudendotectus
Lineage: Eukaryota; Metazoa; Nematoda; Chromadorea; Rhabditida; Metastrongylidae
Description: partial 28S ribosomal RNA
Source: RNAcentral
CAGUGACCGGGUCGGUUGGCCUGUUAAUUGAUGCUUGUGCGGUUUUAUCCGUGGCCGGCAGAUGUACGUGUGUAAGCACGCGCAGACGCUGGACUAGUGAUAAGACCACCUUGUGGACGUUUACAGGUGUGUGCUUUGUCUACGGGCUUAGUAUCCUGAUCGACCAUCAAAACGGUCAAACUGGAACUGGUACGGAC